GACGAACGCUGGCGGCGUGCUUAACACAUGCAGGUCGAACGGAAAGGCCCUGCUUUUGUGGGGUGCUCGAGUGGCGAACGGGUGAGUAACACGUGAGUAACCUGCCCUUGACUUUGGGAUAACUUCAGGAAACUGGGGCUAAUACCGGAUAGGAGCUCCUGCUGCAUGGUGGGGGUUGGAAAGUUUCGGCGGUUGGGGAUGGACUCGCGGCUUAUCAGCUUGUUGGUGGGGUAGUGGCUUACCAAGGCUUUGACGGGUAGCCGGCCUGAGAGGGUGACCGGCCACAUUGGGACUGAGAUACGGCCCAGACUCCUACGGGAGGCAGCAGUGGGGAAUAUUGCACAAUGGGCGGAAGCCUGAUGCAGCAACGCCGCGUGCGGGAUGACGGCCUUCGGGUUGUAAACCGCUUUCGCCUGUGACGAAGCGUGAGUGACGGUAAUGGGUAAAGAAGCACCAGCUAACUACGUG
RNAcentral lists this ribosomal RNA (468 nucleotides) under uncultured bacterium. Its description in RNAcentral is "partial 16S ribosomal RNA". It matches the Rfam family "Bacterial small subunit ribosomal RNA", at positions 28 to 507 of the family's 1533-position model. The record is from RNAcentral.